Molecule: transfer RNA, 75 nt
Filed under: Salinisphaeraceae bacterium
Lineage: Bacteria; Pseudomonadati; Pseudomonadota; Gammaproteobacteria; Salinisphaerales; Salinisphaeraceae
Also listed under: 1 other name
Description: tRNA-Lys
Rfam family: tRNA
About the family: Transfer RNA (tRNA) molecules are approximately 80 nucleotides in length. Their secondary structure includes four short double-helical elements and three loops (D, anti-codon, and T loops).
Source: RNAcentral
GGGCCGUUAGCUCAAUGGUAGAGCACCGGGCUUUUAACCCGUUGGUUCCGAGUUCGAGUCUCGGGCGGCCCACCA